UAUCACUUCACUUCGACCAGGAGUUGUUGAGAAGACGAUCACAGCGUGAUAUUGAGAGACCAAAACCAACUACAAGAUGUUCAGCUGCAUAGGAAAACGCAGAAAGGAAAAAGUGAGUAAUCAGGAUGUCCCUGAUACUCCAGCCACCACAGUCUCAGGUUCACCUGAGAAAAAAGAGAAAAAGACUUGGUGGUGCUGCAGAUGGGUCCGUCGAGUCAAGCAGAAAAACAGGAACCGACUGAUUCCAACGAACAAAGACGUGGACGAGACGUAUGAAAUUCUUUUACUUUCUGCUCCUUUUUACAUUGAUUGAACACAUUAUAUUGAUGUUAUUUUCAUGUUGUUCACUCCAUGCGAUAGAAUUACAGCUGUGUUUCCCUUUAUCACCAGUGUCAAUAAAAGGGACCAGGAGGUUUCACCCGCCUCCAAUACUCCAGGGACGACGGAGACGAAGGAGGCGACGGAGACGAGGACGAAAAAGACACCAUGGUGGCGCCGCUGUUUAUCGUUUUUCCGUAAAAAACAGGUGAAGCCUCCAAUAGAUGACGACGGAGCCAACAACAGCACUCUGUCUGAGGUUGCCACGGUCAACUUGGUGGACAAGUUGACCGAUGGCUAUUCAGACGUGUUUGAAAUCGGCAGUCUUUUCUGCGAUGAUGACAGUGACAGUGACAUGCAGUCCAUCGCUGACAUCACUGUAGAAAUCGAUUCACUGAUUUCAAGUCUGUCCAUUCCAUUGGGACUUGGUGGGAGCCUGCAGGUUCAAGCCAAUCCCACCAGCACCAGAACCCUCUGCAGUGAGGAGCUAGUCUGCCUCGGGUAAGCAAAGACAGUCAUGGACACACUCAACACUCAUAUACAUCCAAGUAUUUGAAAACUGAACACAUUUAUACGCCACACAAAGUCUAUGAAUGUUCAUGUUUGAAG
Long non-coding RNA from Amphiprion ocellaris (clown anemonefish), 927 nucleotides. Lineage: Eukaryota; Metazoa; Chordata; Actinopteri; Pomacentridae. The record is from Ensembl.